RNAcentral lists this transfer RNA (74 nucleotides) under Phocicoccus schoeneichii. Its description in RNAcentral is "Jeotgalicoccus schoeneichii tRNA-Arg". It matches the Rfam family "tRNA". Rfam says of the family: Transfer RNA (tRNA) molecules are approximately 80 nucleotides in length. Their secondary structure includes four short double-helical elements and three loops (D, anti-codon, and T loops). Lineage: Bacteria; Bacillati; Bacillota; Bacilli; Caryophanales; Salinicoccaceae. The record is from RNAcentral.
UACCCUCGUGGUGUAAUGGAUAACACGUGAGAUUCCGGUUCUCAAGAUGGGAGUUCGAUCCUUCUCGGGGGUGU